RNAcentral lists this ribosomal RNA (501 nucleotides) under uncultured bacterium. RNAcentral's name for it is "bacterial SSU rRNA". It matches the Rfam family "Bacterial small subunit ribosomal RNA", at positions 508 to 1007 of the family's 1533-position model. The record is from RNAcentral.
CCAGCAGCCGCGGUAAUACGGAGGGUGCAAGCGUUGUUCGGAAUUAUUGGGCGUAAAGCGCGCGUAGGCGGCCUAUUAAGUGUAGAGUGAAAUCUCCAACGCUCAACGUGGAAAUUGCUCUGCAUACUGGUAGGCUAGAGGGACGUAGAGGUAACUGGAAUUCCCGGUGUAGCGGUGACAUGCAUUGAUAUCGGGAGGAACACCCAUGGCGAAGGCAGGUUACUGGACGUCUCCUGACGCUGAGGUGCGAAAGCGUGGGUAGCAAACAGGAUUAGAUACCCUGGUAGUCCACGCCCUAAACGAUGGAUACUAGGCGUAAGAGGUAUCGACCCCUCUUGUGCCGUAGCUAACGUGUUAAGUAUCCCGCCUGGGGAUACGGCCGCAAGGUUGAAACUCAAAUGAAUUGACGGGGACCCGCACAAGCGGUGGAGCAUGUGGAUUAAUUCGAUACUAACCGAAGAACCUUACCCAGGUUUGACAUCAAGAGAUCGGCUAUGAAAG